This 74-nucleotide transfer RNA is filed under the name Trichonephila clavata. Its description in RNAcentral is "tRNA-Thr". It matches the Rfam family "tRNA". Rfam says of the family: Transfer RNA (tRNA) molecules are approximately 80 nucleotides in length. Their secondary structure includes four short double-helical elements and three loops (D, anti-codon, and T loops). The record is from RNAcentral. Lineage: Eukaryota; Metazoa; Arthropoda; Arachnida; Araneae; Nephilidae.
GCCCUACCUUGUAUGGUGGUUAUGACACUCGGCUAGUAAUCGAGUGGGCUCGGGUUCGAAUUCCGAAUAAGGUA